RNAcentral lists this ribosomal RNA (253 nucleotides) under uncultured bacterium. RNAcentral's name for it is "partial 16S ribosomal RNA". It matches the Rfam family "Bacterial small subunit ribosomal RNA", at positions 524 to 776 of the family's 1533-position model. The record is from RNAcentral.
UACAGAGGGUGCGAGCGUUGUUCGGAAUUAUUGGGCGUAAAGCGCUUGUAGGCGGCACGUCAAGUCGCGUGUGAAAUCCCCAGGCUUAACCUGGGAAGUGCGCGCGAAACUGACGAGCUUGAGUGCCGGAGAGGGUCGCGGAAUUCCCGGUGUAGAGGUGAAAUGCGCAGAUAUCAGGAAGAACACCUAUGGCGAAGGCAGCUCUCUGGGACGGUACUGACGCUGAGACGCGAAAGCGUGGGGAGCGAACAGG